AAAACAGAUUUUAUUGACCCAAAAGUGACAUUCUGUUGAGUAUCAAUGGCAGAUAAAAGGCAAAAAUAGAGAUUAUAGGGAUUGGGGCUUCUCUAGGUGAAACCCACAUGUGUGAGUCGAUUCCCUCCUAUACACGGAGAGUUUAAGAAAACUGUAGAAACAGCUCUGUCGUGGGGACCACCAGGCUUUCCCCUGCCACCCCGCGAAGUCCUUAGGAGAAUUCAAAUUUGGCGAUAUAACGAUAUCUGUAUACUAUUUUCCUAAAUUUAUUUUCUUUUUCCACUUUGCUCGUGUUUUUCCGUCAGGUGCAGUACUGAAAGGCAGCAAGUUAAGCAAAGGGACUGGAUCAUCAGGAAAUCAAACGCUGACAUUAGCUGCUGCCUGUCCCAUAUAAAAAGACAGGCACGCAGGUAUAGAGACAACCGGUUUAUAGGCCAGAAUUUAUGUUCUAAGGUCUCUGUCAUGUAUUAAUUUUCUCUCAUAUCUUAGCAAGAAAAAAAAUACUUUGGGGUGAUAAUGACUUUGGUGGUGGGAAGCUGGCUGCCACCACUCAGCAGAGGAGCUGGGCCAUGGGAGACACAGGAGGGUGCCCAGCAGGUCCAUGCCAGAGUCCAGCCAUGGCAAGACUGAGCCACGCAGACCUGCCUCGGAGCCCGGGAACUCAACCUGGAACCCACCACUCUCUCGGACCCCAGAACACCUCCCACAUGGCUCCCUGAGCUUGUCGACUUGCAGAUGGUCAGCCCCAGCAGCCUGCCCCACCCAGGUGUGACAGGGCGCUCAGGGCCUACAUGCAGCUCAGUGCUAACAAGCUGCCCUACUGGGGGCAUGCGUCCUGCGUGCUUGUCCCACAAUGCUGCAGCAAAGGGAUGGCCAGGUCAGGGCAGCCCGGCUACACAGCUAGGCCAUGAUGCCCCGAUGGGUUCCACCUGGAUCCUGAGUGCCCCAGGCAGGGCUGCUGGAGGCUGUGUGUGUGCACAUGUGCAUAUGUAUGCAGGUGUGUAGUACAUGCACAUGAGUAUGUGCAUGAGUGUGCAGGCAUGUAGGUUGUGCGCGUGUGUACGUGUGUGCACACAUGUGCGUGUUCAUGUGCACAUUUGUGCGUGUGUGUGCACACGCGCAACGCUUCCUCCUGCAUUGCAUCAGAACACCAGCCAGGAGUAAAAACUUCAGUCACCAGCAAUUGGAUCUUCACAGCGAAUAACCAUCUGACUGAUUUUUAAAAGUUAAACAAUUGUUUAAUUGACUUUUCAGUCAAAAGCUCAGUUGUGUGGUUCAGAUUCUUGUCGCCAAGGACAGAGCACUCCCUCUGGCUAAGGAAAGAUGUGAACACCCAGACCUCUGGGGCCCUGGAGCACCCGCUUAUCAACGCUAAGGGGACGUGGCUUGUUUGGCGACUACACCGCCCAAUUCUGUACACAGCAUCACACGUUAUCUUUAUCACAUUAUUCCCUCAAAAGCAAACCCCCAGCCAUGUGAGCAGCGAGCGUGUACUGCUGAGCCAAGUCACAGCUUCCUGUUUAAAAUGACAGCUGACCCGUGUAAAAAUGGGAAAUGGGUGCAGCUCAAUUUUGCCUCAGCAUUGAAUAAACUCGUGGCAGGGAAGCAGGGUGAGGCCCAGCUCUAGAAAGGCCCAAGGACUGGCAUUAUUUUCCAAAUAGCACAAAGAAUGAGUUCUGAACAAGCUUAAAGUUUCAAAAAAGUAGAAUGAGCAUGACAAAAAAUUGCUGCCAUGGGUUGGAUGACAUGAAGCUUGGGACUGGAGUGGUAUCUAGGCAGUCAGUCCCCGUCACUCCCCCAGGAAGGAAGUCGGGCGCCUUCAGGACCCUCCACUCAUUUCCCUGAGAACUGGUCUUUGGAACAAUCUGAGUUUAGGGAUACGUGGGAUUCUAUUUCCUCUAGUAAACUUAAAAUUUUAAACCCUGGUGUCCCCACAUCAUUAUAUCAACCUCUACAAAAGCAGAGGUGACAGUGUGCGUGGAGUAAGGAACACUGGACUUUCAAACAAAUUCUCCAGUUUGUUGGGCUUAGAAGAGGCUGGUUCACCCCGACUGGGGCUGGGGGCAAAGCAGCUGCCUGGGGCACCUCCAGAUUCUCCCUGCCUCACACGGAUGACCCACCCCCACCUAGUUCUGCCUUCUGAUCUAGUCCAAGAAAAGCCUGGAAGUUUAGAGAGGUCACUGAUUUUGAUCACAAAUUUAAAGACUCAUAAGGCAUCUACACUUUUAAGCUGUACAAAAUGUGUAAAACUAAACACCUCAGAGAACAAAAAGCACACGGGAGGUUUGAAUGCUUGCGGCUCUGCUGCCCGUGUUCACCCCGUUCAGACCGGCCAGGCCGCCCCUGCUGUGCAGCUCUGGGGGGUCAGUCUUGCAGCCACCACUGAGGUCUCUGCCCAGGGAGCAGGAAGCCCCCGGCAAUGCCACACGGUUGGAUCUAGGUGGACAAGGAAAGUGUUUUAACAGUCACUGUGUGCUGCCUCUUACCACAUUUCCGCUCAGGUUGGUGGUCAGCAGGCUGGCUGUCCUGGGGCAGGAGGGGUGGGGCCCUAAGGACCUCACCGCCUGGGAGAGCAAAGGCCCAAUAUGGACCAGUGUCUGAGCAGGCCCGUGGAUGAGAACCUAGCACAUUGGCCAUGUUGAUUCUUUUUCUUUGGGCGGCACCCACACAGCAGGGAGAGGACAAUGGCCCGUUGCUCUGAUGAGACUCCCGAGUUUCAUAGUGAUUGUCCGAGCCACCAGCAGGGACGGGUUCGCACCUCCACAGAUCAGCCCACUAGCUGGUGACAGGUCUCACUUCCCCUCCACUGGCCUCUGCUGCGCUAGGGCAGCCUGGCCAGGUCUGUGGGGUGCAGGGAAGCUCUGGCUUUGGUCUGGACACCUGGGGACUGAGGAUAAGUCUCACCCCAGAGCUUGCACCUGGAAACUACGCUCCCAUCCCUAAAUUUGGGUACUUUUUCACAGUGAGAAGCGGACUCCUCUACCCCAUACAGACACUGCACAUGAUUUCUAUAGCUUCUCUCACCUCAAGUACUUGUGCUCACCCUGGCAGAGCUCUGGCCGCGUCCCCACAUCCAUCUACAGGAGGUACACACCUUUCAGCCAGGUGGGGCCCCCGCUGUCCAGAGUCAGCAGCUACAUGCCCGGCACCACGAUUCCAGGCACAUGGGAAUCAGAUCACAUUUUCCCAAGACUCGGAGCCUGCCCGGCUCCCAGCCGGCCCACCAGGCAGAUGGAAACACACUGCACCCUUGUCGGGAACUCGUGCCACACUGUGUGUAAACAUGCACACACAUCCUGAUGGUUUACAAUUAUGAUCCUCACAUCAGUUAAGGCUAUUUAAGGGUAUAUUUUAAGUGAAGUGCUAUAAUAUUCAAAAUUACCAGAUUAAUGAAUUAAUCAACAGGAAAAUGAUCUUUGCCAGAAAAACUAUGACUGUGAUUUUCCAAAAUAGGAUUAGAUUGUUCAUAUGUAUAACCAAAAAUAAGCUCUGCUUUGCAGUAGAAACCACGCAGCCAGUUUCAAAAGAAAGAAGGUAGGGGACCUGGUGUCAGUGUCUCUACACACACACACAAAGUCAGCUUCAGAAGAGGCCGGACCGAGCGGACUAGCUGGCGGGGCACAACUGUGCGCGCUCGACACUCGUCUGGCCACGUUCAACCACUUGCCCCAAGUGGCUGUGGGUGGACGUCCUCUAACUCCAACGUGAUGAAUAUUCUCCGAUAACAUAGCCAU
This is a long non-coding RNA of Galeopterus variegatus (Sunda flying lemur), 3734 nucleotides long. RefSeq lists it as uncharacterized. The transcript is spliced from 2 exons. Lineage: Eukaryota; Metazoa; Chordata; Mammalia; Dermoptera; Cynocephalidae. The record is from RefSeq and is a predicted model, not a curated record.